Molecule: long non-coding RNA, 387 nt
Filed under: Homo sapiens (human)
Lineage: Eukaryota; Metazoa; Chordata; Mammalia; Primates; Hominidae
Description: HSALNT0333533
Source: RNAcentral
GAUGCAUUCAACUGAGUACAGUGCCACAUCAAUGAAAAGUUGAAAGGCACACCCACCAAAGACUUUAUAAAGUGCUCCAGUUCUUAUGGUGUUUUCUGACCAGGAUCUGUACCAAGCAGAUGAACGUGCCAAGAUGUCUUCGUUCUCCCUGGCUGCACAUCCUCCUGUAGUCUUCAUGCCGGCCUUCGUUUGACCUGUUUUUGGGAAGUUCUGCCUUUUCCUUCUAUUUUAAUCUACACUCUGUUGCCACCAUUACAUAUCCAUGCAUGUAGAGUUGAUGGUAGUAUACUAAAACUUUUUAGAAGAGAAGAUAUGAAAACCCAAAUGGAGUGAAUAGCUAACCAGAAGACAUAUAUUAAAUAAGCAAAAUUCCCAACUAUGUUGCUG